RNAcentral lists this ribosomal RNA (434 nucleotides) under uncultured bacterium. RNAcentral's name for it is "bacterial SSU rRNA". It matches the Rfam family "Bacterial small subunit ribosomal RNA", at positions 958 to 1392 of the family's 1533-position model. The record is from RNAcentral.
AACGCGAAGAACCUUACCUACUCUUGACAUCCAGAGAACUUUCCAGAGAUGGAUUGGUGCCUUCGGGAACUCUGAGACAGGUGCUGCAUGGCUGUCGUCAGCUCGUGUUGUGAAAUGUUGGGUUAAGUCCCGCAACGAGCGCAACCCUUAUCCUUUGUUGCCAGCGGUUCGGCCGGGAACUCAAAGGAGACUGCCAGUGAUAAACUGGAGGAAGGUGGGGAGGACGUCAAGUCAUCAUGGCCCUUACGAGUAGGGCUACACACGUGCUACAAUGGCGUAUACAAAGAGAAGCGACCUCGCGAGAGCAAGCGGACCUCAUAAAGUACGUCGUAGUCCGGAUUGGAGUCUGCAACUCGACUCCAUGAAGUCGGAAUCGCUAGUAAUCGUAGAUCAGAAUGCUACGGUGAAUACGUUCCCGGGCCUUGUACACACCG